This 353-nucleotide ribosomal RNA is filed under the name uncultured bacterium. RNAcentral's name for it is "bacterial SSU rRNA". It matches the Rfam family "Bacterial small subunit ribosomal RNA", at positions 29 to 410 of the family's 1533-position model. The record is from RNAcentral.
AACGAACGCUGGCGGCAGGCCUAACACAUGCAAGUCGAACGCUCCGCAAGGGGGAGUGGCGCACGGGUGAGUAACACGUGGGAACCUACCUUCUGGUGCGGAACAACCAAGGGAAACUCUGGCUGAUACCGUAUACGACCUCCGGGUGAAAGAUUGAUCGCCGGAAGAGGGGCCCGCGUCCGAUUAGGUAGUUGGUGAGGUAACGGCUCACCAAGCCUGCGAUCGGUAGCUGGUCUGAGAGGAUGACCAGCCACACUGGGACUGAGACACGGCCCAGACUCCUACGGGAGGCAGCAGUGGGGAAUAUUGGACAAUGGGCGCAAGCCUGAUCCAGCCAUGCCGCGUGAGUGAUG